Molecule: long non-coding RNA, 551 nt
Organism: Thalassophryne amazonica
Lineage: Eukaryota; Metazoa; Chordata; Actinopteri; Batrachoidiformes; Batrachoididae
Exons: 3
Source: RefSeq, a predicted model, not a curated record
GUGGCUGCAGGGGAGAGGCGAUCAGUGCAGACAGAAGAGAAAGCUGAAUUCACUCAAAGAACACAUUAGUGGUGUGUCUCUUCGUCAUAUUAUAAACUACAAAGUCCUUCUGGAGUGCAAGUCAAAAAUUCAUACUAGGUUUGGCAGCAUGCUGGUUUAAUGUAAAUUACUUCCAAUAAUCAAAAUUUUCUUCAGCCAAUUUCCAUAUUUUCUCUUGAAUUCAGUUCUUGUCUUGAAAUAACGCGAACACUGAGAUGGUGCAACGAUGUCAGAAGUCAGGGACAAGCUGUGAAUUUAACAUGAUUAGACUGAAAUAUUGCAAUAUAAACAGAGAUAGAACUUGUAGACUUUUGGAAAAGGCCUACACAGGAAGCCUAGUUACGACACGUCUACCACUACUGCCUGCAAUCCAAACUCAGAAGAAUAAAUUUUAUAGAAAUCCAACAACAGAUGAGAAGGAAAAGUGUCAUCCCUGCAUUAAUCAGGCAUACACAGUUAAAUCAAGCAGCAUGAAAAAUAACUGAAGCUGUACAGAGUAAAAUUUAUCACUG